UACGUAGGUGGCAAGCGUUGUCCGGAUUUAUUGGGUUUAAAGGGUGCGUAGGCGGCCCCAUAAGUCAGUGCUGAAAUACUCUAGCUCAACUAGAGGGGUGGCAUUGAUACUGCAGGGCUUGAGUGGAGUCGAGGUAGGCGGAAUUGACGGUGUAGCGGUGAAAUGCUUAGAUAUCGUCAAGAACACCGAUAGUGUAGACAGCUUACUAGGCUUCAACUGACGCUGAGGCACGAAAGUGUGGGGAUCAAACAGG
This 253-nucleotide ribosomal RNA is filed under the name uncultured bacterium. Its description in RNAcentral is "partial 16S ribosomal RNA". It matches the Rfam family "Bacterial small subunit ribosomal RNA", at positions 524 to 776 of the family's 1533-position model. The record is from RNAcentral.